AACGAACGCUGGCGGCAUGCCUAACACAUGCAAGUCGAACGAGACCUUCGGGUCUAGUGGCGCACGGGUGCGUAACGCGUGGGAACCUGCCCUUAGGUUCGGAAUAACGCCCCGAAAGGGGUGCUAAUACCGGAUAAUGUCUUCGGACCAAAGAUUUAUCGCCUUUGGAGGGGCCCGCGUUGGAUUAGCUAGUUGGUAGGGUAAAAGCCUACCAAGGCGACGAGACAUAGCUGGUCUGAGAGGAUGAUCAGCGACACUGGGACUGAGACACGGCCCAGACUCCUACGGGAGGCAGCAGUGGGGAAUAUUGGACAAUGGGCGAAAGCCUGAUCCAGCAAUGCCGCGUGAGUGAUGAAGGCCUUAGGGUUGUAAAGCUCUUUUACCCGGGAUGAUAAUGACAGUACCGGGAGAAUAAGCUCCGGCUAACUCCGUG
This 433-nucleotide ribosomal RNA is filed under the name uncultured bacterium. RNAcentral describes it as "partial 16S ribosomal RNA". It matches the Rfam family "Bacterial small subunit ribosomal RNA", at positions 29 to 507 of the family's 1533-position model. The record is from RNAcentral.